GCGGCGGUGGUGCAAUGGCGACACAGCUGGUUUAGGUCCAGUGACCCGUAAAGGGUUUGAGGGUUCGAAUCCCUUCCGCCGCAC
RNAcentral lists this transfer RNA (84 nucleotides) under Streptomyces noursei. Its description in RNAcentral is "tRNA-Leu". It matches the Rfam family "tRNA". Rfam says of the family: Transfer RNA (tRNA) molecules are approximately 80 nucleotides in length. Their secondary structure includes four short double-helical elements and three loops (D, anti-codon, and T loops). Further hydrogen bonds mediate the characteristic L-shaped molecular structure. tRNAs have two regions of fundamental functional importance: the anti-codon, which is responsible for specific mRNA codon recognition, and the 3' end, to which the tRNAs corresponding amino acid is attached (by aminoacyl-tRNA synthetases). tRNAs cope with the degeneracy of the genetic code in two manners: having more than one tRNA (with a specific anti-codon) for a particular amino acid; and 'wobble' base-pairing, i.e. permitting non-standard base-pairing at the 3rd anti-codon position. Lineage: Bacteria; Bacillati; Actinomycetota; Actinomycetes; Kitasatosporales; Streptomycetaceae. The record is from RNAcentral.